UUAAUUCAACUCAACACGAAAAAACUCACCCGGCCUGGACACUGUGAAGAUUGACAGCUCUUUCUUAAUUCGGUGGGUGAUGGUGCAUGGCCGUUCUUAUUUGGUGGAGCAAUUUGUCUGGUUAACUCCGAUAUUAGAAACACUAGCUCCUUAAGUAUCCGAAUUGAAAGACAACUGUACGCUCAUAUAUGUAUAUAUAAUGUAUUUCUUCCUUAGAACUUUAAACUACAUAUUCAACUAUUGAUAUGCGUCCCGUUCCCUAGAGAAAGAAGCUAGAUCUCAGUCACUAUCAAUGUCUGAUUGA
This 304-nucleotide non-coding RNA is filed under the name Schistosoma haematobium. Its description in RNAcentral is "Eukaryotic small subunit ribosomal RNA". It matches the Rfam family "Eukaryotic small subunit ribosomal RNA", at positions 1190 to 1437 of the family's 1831-position model. Lineage: Eukaryota; Metazoa; Platyhelminthes; Trematoda; Strigeidida; Schistosomatidae. The record is from Rfam by way of RNAcentral.